AAGACAUGAUGCUAUACAAUACUUGCUACUUUGGACGGUUGCCCUAGCGGCGCCAAUGACAGUCCUUUACCACCGAGAUCUCUGAUCUU
Non-coding RNA from Hammondia hammondi, 89 nucleotides. Lineage: Eukaryota; Apicomplexa; Conoidasida; Eucoccidiorida; Sarcocystidae. The record is from Rfam.